AGUGAACGCUGGCGGUAGGCCUAACACAUGCAAGUCGAACGGCAGCACAGUAAGAGCUUGCUCUUACGGGUGGCGAGUGGCGGACAGGUGAGGAAUACAUCGGAAUCUACUUUUUCGUGGGGGAUAACGUAGGGAAACUUACGCUAAUACCGCAUACGACCUACGGGUGAAAGCAGGGGAUCUUCGGACCUUGCGCGACUGAAUGAGCCGAUGUCGGAUUAGCUAGUUGGCGGGGUAAAGGCCCACCAAGGCGACGAUCCGUAGCUGGUCUGAGAGGAUGAUCAGCCACACUGGAACUGAGACACGGUCCAGACUCCUACGGGAGGCAGCAGUGGGGAAUAUUGGACAAUGGGCGCAAGCCUGAUCCAGCCAUACCGCGUGGGUGAAGAAGGCCUUCGGGUUGUAAAGCCCUUUUGUUGGGAAAGAAAAGCAGCAGGUUAAUACCCCGCUGUUCUGACGGUACCCAAAGAAUAAGCACCGGCUAACUUCGUG
This 492-nucleotide ribosomal RNA is filed under the name uncultured bacterium. RNAcentral describes it as "partial 16S ribosomal RNA". It matches the Rfam family "Bacterial small subunit ribosomal RNA", at positions 29 to 507 of the family's 1533-position model. The record is from RNAcentral.